RNAcentral lists this ribosomal RNA (253 nucleotides) under uncultured bacterium. RNAcentral's name for it is "partial 16S ribosomal RNA". It matches the Rfam family "Bacterial small subunit ribosomal RNA", at positions 524 to 776 of the family's 1533-position model. The record is from RNAcentral.
UACGAAGGGGGCUAGCGUUGCUCGGAAUCACUGGGCGUAAAGCGCACGUAGGCGGCUUAUUAAGUCAGGGGUGAAAUCCUGGAGCUCAACUCCAGAACUGCCUUUGAUACUGAUGAGCUUGAGUUCGGGAGAGGUGAGUGGAACUGCGAGUGUAGAGGUGAAAUUCGUAGAUAUUCGCAAGAACACCAGUGGCGAAGGCGGCUCACUGGCCCGAUACUGACGCUGAGGUGCGAAAGCGUGGGGAGCGAACAGG